Molecule: transfer RNA, 68 nt
Filed under: Vitis vinifera (wine grape)
Lineage: Eukaryota; Viridiplantae; Streptophyta; Magnoliopsida; Vitales; Vitaceae
Description: transfer RNA-Undet
Source: RNAcentral
GGUGCCUAGUUGGUCAAGCACAAGUUUUUUCAAUCUUGUGGUCAUGGGUUCGAAGCCCAUAGGUGCCC